RNAcentral lists this unclassified non-coding RNA (1375 nucleotides) under Hevea brasiliensis (rubber tree). The record is from RNAcentral. Lineage: Eukaryota; Viridiplantae; Streptophyta; Magnoliopsida; Malpighiales; Euphorbiaceae.
UCCUCGAGCAUCAGUAAAUGUAAAUACUGCCCCCAUGCCAAUAAUUGACACUGCUAACAGUCAUGCAUUCCACAUUGGAAGCUUGGAAGGUCCAAGCUCUGCUCCUUGGACUUCACAAGGAUCCAUGGAUAGUGGAGAUGUUUUGGAGCAGCCAUCAACUCAUUGUUUGACUAGGAUUAAGUCAUUGCAGCAGUGUGCAUCUGCCAUCGCUGAAUUAGUGCAGGAAAAGGUGGAGGCAGGCAGGCAACUGGAAGCAUUCUCGAUACAACUUGUUAUUCUUGCAAUUUGGAAGCAAGCACUUCAUAUUUGCCACACUCAGGCUGCCUCAGCCAUUGAAGGAAGUCCAAGCCAAGAGAGCACAAGGUUGAGGAGAAGCAGCAGCAAGAAGCAUGGGUCUCCUGAUACAGAAGACUGUCUUGACGGUGGGCCAGAGAAUAUAUCCACUCAGAUUGAGAGGGAGUUUUUAAGGGAAGUUGAACAUGCUGAGGAAUUUGCCAAGGCUAUUGAACCUGGAAAUGUUGAGAUGCCUGAUGCCAUGGAAGCAAUAUUUCAAUCUGCCCUUGCUCUCGGAAGACAUGGAGGAGUUGAUGAGCUCAUGGGUGAAAUGGAAAGUGCAUCUUUCUUAUAUUCAAAAGCAGUACGCUUGUUAGUCUUCCUUCUAGUGGAAGCACCGUCCCUCAUUCUCAAUCCUCCACUCUCUCUCACAAACUCAGACCGGUAUAGACUUCGUACUUACAUUGAUAUCCUCAAUAAUAGGCAGGGCCAUUCACGAUCUCAAAGGAUGGCACUUCUCAAAUGCGAUGAACAAGCACAACAAUGCCCUCCCUAGCAUAGCCAAGAUUUUUACAGAGUUACCUAAUGACCUGUUUAUGUUUGCCAUGUAAAAUUAUUUGUUUGUACAGCUAUUCUUUUGAGAUUCUGGGAUUGGGAUAUUGCCAAAGCUCAACCUUUGUAUUUAGGGGGGUGUUGUAAUAUUCUCAUUUAUGCGAUUUAGGGAAUGAAGGGCUGACAAAAAAAGCAAGAAAAAAAAAGAUAGAAGAGGAAAGAAAGAUGCAUGAAAGAAAGAUCUGAAGAAUGAAGCAAUGUGCAUGUGUUUUGCAUCGGAUAUGCUUUUUGUUGUAUGCUAUGCUUCAAUGGUUAAAGGGAUCAAUACUCCCAUCUCAUCAAAGUCAUAACCUAUCAAGCUAGCAAUGAAGACGUCAACUGUCUGAAAGGUUAGGUGAAAAAGGAGACGAUGCAUACUUCUGCUUGACGCAAGGUGCAAAGACCUCAAACAACUGUUAGUCGUUGUUGGGAAACAUUGGAUUGUGGAAGUCUUCAGACGCGUGCGUAAUGUGCUCCUACUGCUACAAUUAUUAUUAUUAUUAUUAUUAUU